Molecule: long non-coding RNA, 518 nt
Organism: Sycon ciliatum
Lineage: Eukaryota; Metazoa; Porifera; Calcarea; Leucosolenida; Sycettidae
Exons: 4
Source: RefSeq, a predicted model, not a curated record
AUGUCCAGAUCUCAAUAACAGUAACUUCAAUUACAAACCUAUUGCCAAAUUCGACAAACAACCAGGUACUCCAUUGUCCAUCGAGUGCAGAACAGGUUUUCUGUCCAACAAUAGUAUGGAAAUAACCCUGUCUACAUGCCAGGGCAAUGGAAGAUGGCAACCAAGUCCACCAAUGUGUGAGAGUUGCAUGUUGGUAUGCAAUGACACUAUUGUGGUGGAUUGCAAUCAUGUACCAGCAAUGGGAAUGGCAAUGGCAACUGUCAACUGUACUUGCGGACAAAACUUCCAAUGGACCAUGGGCAAAUGUCAACCAACACAUUGUCCAGAGUUGAACUCGACAACAGUGACGACUAUACCCAGGAGCACUACUGCCACCCGCAUCACUGCAUCAUGUAUGUCUGGUUAUGGCAAUAUCUCAAUGCCAAGUACAGUGAUUUGCCAAGCUGAUGGAACAUGGACUACACUACCAACUUGUCAAGCUCACCGAACAACUGAAGGUUACAACCGGACUGCCAUCG